This 468-nucleotide ribosomal RNA is filed under the name uncultured bacterium. RNAcentral's name for it is "partial 16S ribosomal RNA". It matches the Rfam family "Bacterial small subunit ribosomal RNA", at positions 28 to 507 of the family's 1533-position model. The record is from RNAcentral.
GACGAACGCUGGCGGCGUGCUUAACACAUGCAAGUCGAACGGAAAGGCCCUGCUUUUGUGGGGUGCUCGAGUGGCGAACGGGUGAGUAACACGUGAGUAACCUGCCCUUGACUUUGGGAUAACUUCAGGAAACUGGGGCUAAUACCGGAUAGGAGCUCCUGCUGCAUGGUGGGGGUUGGAAAGUUUCGGCGGUUGGGGAUGGACUCGCGGCUUAUCAGCUUGUUGGUGGGGUAGUGGCUUACCAAGGCGUUGACGGGUAGCCGGCCUGAGAGGGUGAACGGCCACAUUGGGACUGAGAUACGGCCCAGACUCCUACGGGAGGCAGCAGUGGGGAAUAUUGCACAAUGGGCGGAAGCCUGAUGCAGCAACGCCGCGUGCGGGAUGACGGCCUUCGGGUUGCAAACCGCUUUCGCCUGUGACGAAGCGUGAGUGACGGUAAUGGGUAAAGAAGCACCGGCUAACUACGUG